GUGUCAGCCGCCGCGGUAAUACGUAGGAGGCUAGCGUUAUCCGGAUUUAUUGGGCGUAAAGCGCGUGUAGGUGGCUCUUCAAGUCGGAUGUAAAAUCUCCUGGCUUAACUAGGAGGGACCAUUCGAAACUGCUGGGCUAGAGUGCAGUAGAGGGAGGUGGAAUUCCCGGUGUAGUGGUGAAAUGCGUAGAUAUCGGGAGGAACACCAGUGGCGAAGGCGGCCUCCUGGGCUGUUACUGACGCUGAGACGCGAAAGCGUGGGGAGCGAACAGGAUUAGAUACCCUGGUAGUCCACGCUGUAAACUUUGGACACUAGGUAUGGGGAGUAUCGACCCUCUCCGUGCCGAAGCUAACGCAUUAAGUGUCCCGCCUGGGGACUACGGUCGCAAGACUAAAACUCAAAGGAAUUGGCGGGG
This 415-nucleotide ribosomal RNA is filed under the name uncultured prokaryote. RNAcentral's name for it is "bacterial SSU rRNA". It matches the Rfam family "Bacterial small subunit ribosomal RNA", at positions 505 to 918 of the family's 1533-position model. The record is from RNAcentral.